GAGGACUCACGAAUCUGUUACUGAAGGGAAGCUCAGCAGGGCAAUGUUCCGAUUUGUAAGGGGGCGGUGUGUUCUUUUAUUUAUUGGACUGAGACAGAGAAGUCGACAAGGAAGUGGGAAAUAGAGACGGAGAGAGAAAGACACGUGGCAGCGCCUUUUCACCCCCUCGGGGAGCUUCCCCCUGCAAGUGGGGGCUGGGGGCUUGAACCCGGUUCCUUGUCGGUGCUGCCCCGUCGUCACCCAGGGGCAUCGCUGCCACGUCUGGGUUCUUGAGGUCGUGUGUCGUUCUGCUUCUUGGCCUGCCUAUCUGUGGAGAUCGCUGUGUGCCAAUCUGCACCCUGUACACUGCGGGCAGUAUGUAUUGCAGAUCCGGCCUAUGUGUGCAGGGCAUCCAUCUCUCUUCGUGCAUGCAGUGUGCAACAUACAUGUUGCGCGAGUGUAUUUUUGGAAGAGUAGAAGUAUUCUGCCAGAGAGUGACUGGAGUCACGAGUCACAGUUCUCUCUUGGAAAGCACCAUCUUAAAAGGCAGGCGGCGGCUUUGAGCUAAACCUUAGAAUCUGAAUAGACAUAGGAACAUGGAAUUUCCAUUUAAAAACUUAAAAGGUAAUCUGGCACUAGAGGCAGAUCAGCCCAAAGCCAUUUUAAAUAUAGAAACAGCAUUACAACUACAGUUAAGUACAUUUGAAUGUAACUUUUUAAAGCCUAUUUGGAAAAAAAAAAUAAGUUGAGAAAAAAAAAAAAUAAAUAAAAAAAUAAGUUGAGAAGUGACUUUUCUUUCUCAAAGUUUUGAUAUUGACAGUUUCUUCCUUUACCAUCUCACUUGUCCUCUUUCCUACGGCAAUAGUAUAUAACUUAGGCUACUUCUUGCUUCAGGUUUUUUAAUGAAAAAGUCAUGCCAUGGAUUUUUCUUUUGCAAGACACCUGUUUAUCACCUUGUUCACAUGUAAAUGUUCCCUUAUGUUUUUGAAAUAAAUUUCCUUUUGUAAUUUAAAAAAAAAAAGGCAGGCAGCAGUAGGGAAUCAAGGACAUGUGGCAAUGCGGACUGGAAAUGCCACAGAGAAGGGGUCGGGGAGGUGCGCGUGCAGCCUCUCAGGCGUGCAGCCUGAGUCUCCAGGAAGAUAGCCUCCCUCCUGCCCUUACCUUGUUAUUGUGUUUCCAAGUGUUUACCUGUCUUUAGUCAUCAAGUUACCUUUCAUCAGGCCAGGGAGAAGAGAUUCCAUGUUCUCCAGAAAUUCACAUGAUGGUAGCAGACAACAUUUCCCAACACAAGCAUGACAACAAGGAUCAGAGUUAUGGUCUCAGAUCUGCAGAGGCCACGACUGCUCACAGACAGAAUGCAGAUGUGAACAAAAGCUCCCUUCUCCCAAGUCACGCGUGAGCAGGAUGUGCCUUCAUGUCCAUCCACAGCUGGCACGCGAGAUCUGACGCUAUGGGAAGCAGUCCCAAGCUGGGGGAGUCUCCAAGUGGAGACGGAAGUCACCAGUGCCCAGGGCCUCAGUGUGACCACAGCCGGACGACUGCACUCAGGCAAGAAGGGUGAUGGCACUUUAUAACGAAGCUGCAAGGUACAUGCUCACUCGAAGAGACCCAGCUUCAUGUGGAAGGCAGAGUGAAAAUUAGGGUCAUUGUUUAAAUACCUGCUGUUUAAAUACCAGAAAAACAAAAGGUUUCUGGUGCAUGUGGGGAGUGAGAUGUGCACCUCAUUAGCUGGUGAGCUUUUACUUUGUACACUGUUAUACAGUUCACUCAUAAACUAAAAAAGCGCGCGCGCACACACACACACACACUCUCUCUCUCUCUCUCUCUAGUUGUUGUCCCAGAAGAGGUCUCUGCGAUGCUGCCAGCUCUGUCCUCUCCGGGGCUUGAGAACCUGCUGGUUGCAGUCAUUACUGAGUGGGGCUUGUUUAUACCCUCUGGGAGGACGGUCCCCUGUGUGUCCUGAGCCGCUGGUGGUACACGGCCUCCCCAUAGCCUUGUAGGACCAGCUGGGUUCUGUAGAGGAUGGUUCCAUCCAAACAGUGAAGCAGCGUAGCAUUUUUUUUUCCUUUUUUGCUUCUAGAUAAGACCUGAUCAGCAAGAACCCAGCCUCUUUCAUCAAACAAUGUGCUUUGUGGAAGUACUUAGCAGAGAUAACUCACACGCUGGUGCAACUCCAGUGAGCUAAGCCAGAUCCUCUACAUAGAAUUAGGGGGUCCAGGCUUGUCCAAGAAACACUUUCACAAGGUCAUGGGGGCAUCUACUAGAGCAGCCAGCACAUCCUCCCUUUUGAUUCUCAUUUUUGACACCGCUCUGAGAGGGUGGAGUGACCUGGAGUGCACCCUAAUCUUUUCGGGAACAAUCUCAAGUUAUGCGCAGACAGAGCAAAAAAA
Long non-coding RNA from Erinaceus europaeus (western European hedgehog), 2369 nucleotides. RefSeq lists it as uncharacterized. NCBI's taxonomy places the organism in Eukaryota, Metazoa, Chordata, Mammalia, Eulipotyphla, Erinaceidae. The transcript has 3 exons. The record is from RefSeq and is a predicted model, not a curated record.